Molecule: ribosomal RNA, 253 nt
Filed under: uncultured bacterium
Lineage: Bacteria
Description: partial 16S ribosomal RNA
Rfam family: Bacterial small subunit ribosomal RNA
Source: RNAcentral
UACGUAGGUCGCAAGCGUUGUCCGGAUUUACUGGGCGUAAAGAGCGCGCAGGCGGCUGGUCAAGUCCGAUGUGAAAUCUCCCGGCUCAACUGGGAAACUGCAUCGGAACCUGAUCGGCUUGAAGAUGGGAGAGGGUAGUGGAAUUCCCGGUGUAGUGGUGAAAUGCGUAGAUAUCGGGAGGAACACCAGUGGCGAAGGCGACUACCUGGCCCAUUCUUGACGCUGAGGCGCGAAAGCUAGGGGAGCGAACGGG